AGUGGAAAAGGAUGUGGAAUUGCACAGACAACCAGGAUGUUGGCUUAGAAGCAGCCACUCAUUAAAAGAGUGCGUAAUAGCUCACUGGUCGAGUGACUCUGCGCCGAAAAUUCAACGGGGCUAAAAUUCAUACCGAAGCUUGGGCUUGACAGAAAUGUCAGGGGUAGGGGAGCGUCGUAUACGAGGUGAAGUCAUAGCGGAAGCGGUGGUGGAUUGUAUACGAGUGAGAAUGCCGGAAUGAGUAGCGAGAAUUAUGUGAGAAUCAUAAUGGCCGAAAGUCUAAGGUUUCCUGAGGAAGGUUCGUCCUCUCAGGGUUAGCCGGGAGCUAAGGUGAGGCGGAAACGCGUAGCCGAUGCACAUACGGUAGAAAUUCCGUAGCCUCCGAAGAUUUAAGCACAGGGACACUUUUGAAGGGCUGAGCCGGGCGUUGGUUGCCCCGGUCGAAAGGGACACGAUUGAGUGGAAGUCAGUUUGGAAAGAGGCGAGAAAAGCUGUGUGUAUAUGAAAGGAGCCCGUACCGCAAACCGACACAGGUAGACAGGAAGAAGAUUCUAAGGCCAGCGGGAGAAGGGUUGUUAAGGAACUCGGCAAGUUGACCCCGUAACUUCGGGAGAAGGGGUGCUUACGAAGGUAAGCCGCAGAGAAUAGGCCCAAGCGACUGUUUAGCAAAAACACAGCUCUAUGCUAAAUCGAAAGAUGACGUAUAUGGGGUGACACCUGCCCGGUGCUGGAAGGUUAAGAGGAGAUGUGAGAGCAUUGAAUUGAAGCCCCAGUAAACGGCGGCCGUAACUAUAACGGUCCUAAGGUAGCGAAAUUCCUUGUCAGGUAAGUUCUGACCCGCACGAAUGGUGUAACGAUUUGGGCACUGUCUCAACAACCCACCCGGCGAAAUUGUAGUACCGGUGAAGAUGCCGGUUACCCGCGACUAGACGGAAAGACCCCAUGGAGCUUCACUGCAGCUUAAUAUUGGAUUUCGGUAUUUCAUGUACAGGAUAGGUGGGAGACUGGGAAAUACAGGCGUCAGCUUGUAUGGAGUCAUUGUUGGGAUACCACUCUUGAGGUGCUGGAAUUCUAACCUGUGGCCUUGAAUCAGGUCAGGGGACAUUGUUAGGCGGGCAGUUUGACUGGGGCGGUCGCCUCCUAAAAGGUAACGGAGGCGCUCAAAGGUUCGCUCAGCAUGGACGGAAACCAUGCCAAAGAGUGUAAACGCAUAAGCGAGCCUAACUGCGAGACUGACGGGUCGAGCAGUAACGAAAGUUGGAGUUAGUGAUCCGGCGGUAUAUGUGAGUGGAAAUGCCGUCGCUCAACGGAUAAAAGCUACCCUGGGGAUAACAGGCUGAUCUCCCCCAAGAGUCCACAUCGACGGGGAGGUUUGGCACCUCGAUGUCGGCUCAUCGCAUCCUGGGGCUGAAUUCGGUCCCAAGGGUUUGGCUGUUCGCCAAUUAAAGCGGUACGCGAGCUGGGUUCAGAACGUCGUGAGACAGUUCGGUCCCUAUCUGUCGUGGGCGUUGGAGAUUUGAAAGGAGCUGUCCCUAGUACGAGAGGACCGGGAUGGACGCACCUCUGGUGCACCAGUUGUCACGCCAGUGGCACAGCUGGGCAGCUAUGUGCGGAACGGAUAAACGCUGAAAGCAUCUAAGCGUGAAGCCGCCCUUAAGAUAAGAUCUCCUUUAAGACCCCUUGUAGACUACGAGGUUGAUAGGUCUGAUGUGUAAGCACGGUGACGUGUUUAGCUUGCAGAUACUAAUCGGUCGUUCGCUUUUCCU
Molecule: ribosomal RNA, 1766 nt
Filed under: human gut metagenome
Description: bacterial LSU rRNA
Rfam family: Bacterial large subunit ribosomal RNA
Source: RNAcentral